Cavia porcellus (domestic guinea pig) is the source of this 3382-nucleotide long non-coding RNA. RefSeq lists it as uncharacterized. The record is from RefSeq and is a predicted model, not a curated record. The transcript has 3 exons. Lineage: Eukaryota; Metazoa; Chordata; Mammalia; Rodentia; Caviidae.
CAUCAAAUUCCAAGGAAGGUGUGAAAGUUAAGGCUACUUGGGGCACACUGCCCUCCAGAAAUCCAGGCCAGUGUAAAACAUUUACCCUCCCAUUCUACUUUCCAAGGUUUUGUUUUGGUUAUGGUUUUGGUUUUUCAUUCAGUUUCUAGAGAUUGAGUACAGAUCUUUUGCAUUUAGCUCCAUUACCUUCCACUUUUAAAAAUCUUCCUUUUUUUUCAGGAGUUUCUCAAUAAGUUGCUAAGUUGGUGGGUCUAUCCUUGAAUUUGUGAUAUUUCUGCCUCAGCCUUCCAGGCAGCUGGCAUUACAAGCCACACACCAGACCUGGUCUCAUUAUAGUGUUGUUAAAAACUCAUUUGAUGAGCAAGGAAUGGUGAAAAUGCCUGCAAUGUCAGAACUCAGGCCACUGAGGCAGCAGGAUUCCUGGGAUUUCCACACAAGACUGCAACACACUCUGAGUUCAGCUCAGGCCACAAUGACACAGGGAGACCCUGACCAGAAAAAGAAAAUAAACAUGUGGGAACAGACAGGAAAGGAAAGAAGAAAUAAAACAAAAUUCCUGGUGACUAUGAAUUGGUUUGUCUCUGGGCUAUGCAUUUUAAUCUGCCGUCCUGUUCUUGCAGUAUAAGAUCCUUUGACUGCCUUCAAUUUACAAUAUACCUGGAAACCAGGAAAGUAUUAGUGAUACUUUGACAUGAAUGGCACUGAAACAGCUGGUUGCUCUGGGUAUCCUGAACAUUGUAACAACAUGAAUUCUUCCCAUCCACCAUCACAGUGUGUCUUUUCUUCUGUUAGUGCCAUUUCACUCAUUGCAUCAGUUUCUACAGUUUUUAAAGAAAAGGCCUGUACCCAGUCCUCCUCACUGUUGUUCUCUGCCUCACUGGGCUCACAGUGCUCCAGUUCAGGCAGGAGAAGUAACUUUGGAAGAUCCAUGUUGGUUUGCAGCUGCUGCUUGGAGCCAAGAAUCAGGCCUAAGGUCCUGGGGGUGCAAGGUGUGGGCAGCUGAGUGUGAGCUGGGUGUUCCCACCCUAACUACUCUCCCAAGGCACCCUGCUGAGUUGGAUACCUGGCUGCUGCUCCAGCUGUGGAGAGCCCAGUUCCACCCUAUCUCCACCACUAGUGGAGCAGUGCUGCCCCAGACAGCUCUGGGGGACUGACAGAUGACUCCAUGGGAGAGCCUGUGAACAGUGUUGUGACCCCCUCUCUGUUCUUCAGGAAAGCUGUACACACAUCUGUCUAGUGCUCCCCAGUGGUAUGUUGCCUUCACAAGGGGAUGGAAAAGUGUCUACUAUGGUACUGGGAUUGUGCUUCAUACAUAUGUGAGAAGUGAGGGAACAGAAGGGAUGGGUAGUGUUCCACCUUUCCUCAGCUGUUAGAUUGCACAGAGACUUGCCACCCAGUACUCUGUGCUUCCUCUUGAGUCCCCUUCCACUGAUGUGUUUCCAUAUCUAGGGAAGCCCAGAGGAAAUCUCAUGUACCAUAAAUUUAGUAGUAUAUGAUCUGCCAUCCAGGGUGACUGUGUUGCUCCCACUAGUGUGGAAGGUCAAGAGGGCAGUAGCUACAUCUUUGUUGGUCAUUGGAUCAUGGUCAGUGCCUGGCAAAGUGUCUGUUCACAGUGUAGCUCUAUGUAUAUUCAUGUACUCAUGGCACCUACUGGUUCUGGUGAUGUCAUCUGAAUGGGCCUGGGGCCUCUGCAAGGCCCAAGAGAAUCUGGCUAUGAAUAAUACAUCCUAAACUCCAUAGAGCAUCCUAGGAAUCAGAUUUUGCAUAAUGGCAAGUUCAUGUUCAAAUUUAACAAUUUAAUCAUCAGUGAAAAUCUCUUAAAGUAAAUAAAAAAGCUAGAGAUUUUGUGUUAAUACCUGUGGUUCAUUCUUACAAUGGAAAAGAAAAACGUGUAGUGUAUAAUCAGUCAAAUCACAAGAAUUAUUGCUUUGUCCUCCAGAAACUAAUGUGGGUGUGAAAGAAACAGACACACACCACGAUGUUCAGAUGCAUGAAAAACACCACAGUGGAGGGAAACCCUGGGUAUCCAAACAAUAUGGGAAAGCUUUAACCACACAUAGAAAUAGUAAGGAACAUGAAAGAAUUCACACUGGAGAGACCUCAUGUAUGUAAGCAAUGUGGGAAAGCUUUUACAACCAGUGGACAUUGUAAGCAACAUGAAACAAUUCACACUGGAGAGAAACCUUAUGUAUGUAAGCAAUAAGCAAAAGCUUUUAUCAAAUGUGGACAUCGUAAACAAGAUGAAAGAACACUUGAGAAAAACCCUAUAUAUGUAAGCAAUGUGGGAAAGCUGUUACCUCACCUAGAGAUUUUAAAAGUCAUGAAAGAAUUCACACUUGAGAAAAACUCUAUAUAUGAAAGCAAUGUGGGAAAGCUUUUACCUCACCUGGAGAUUUUAAAAAUCAUGAAUUCACACUGGUGAAAACCGUAUGUAUGUAAGCAUUGUGGGAAAGCUUUUACCAACAUGGACAUUGUAAGCAACAUGAAAGAAUUCACACUGGAGAGAAACCCUAUUUAUGUCAGCAAUGUGGGAAAGCUUUUACCCAAUGUGGACUUUGUAAGCAGCAUGAAAGUUCACACUUGAUAGAAACCCGAUAUAUGUGAGCACAGUGAGAAAGCUUUCAGUACAACUACAUAUUGUGUACUGCAUGAAAAUCUUCACACUGGCCAGAAACCAUAUAUAUGUAAGGAAUACUGGAAAGCUUUCAGCAAAAUGCUCAUUGUCAAAACACAUGAAAAUAUACCCUCUGGGGAGAAACUACAUACAUAAAGAAUGUGGGAAAGCUUUCACCUCACAUGGAUAUUGUAAAACACAUCAACAACUUCACACUGGCGACAAUACCUAUGUAUGUAAACAAUGUGGGAGAGCUUUUACCACAUAUAGUCAUUGGAGAACGCAUGAAAGAAUUCACACUGGUUGCUGGGGGUUUAGCUCAGCGGCAUAAGUGCCUGCCUUGCAAGCAGGCAGUCGUGAGUUUGAUCCCCGGUACCAAUAAAAAGAAAAAAGACCAAAAAAAAAAAAAAGAAUUCACACUGGGAAGAAACACUGGCUAUGUAAGCAAUGUGGGGAUGCUUUCAGGAGCCAGAGUGAAUGUGAAAAUCAGGAGGAAACCCACACUGGGAAUUCAUUGUAUACAUUAUGGGAAUACUCUCAGCAAACAUGAUAAUAGUUACAUAUCUGAAAGAGCUCACUGGGCAGAAAUCCUAUGUGGACUAGCAAUGUGAGAAAUAUGUCAGUCAACACACUUUGUUAAAUACAUAGAAAAAGCCUCACUGAUCUGAAUUUUUAGAUCUAAGUUUAGUUUUAAAAUCCCAAGGAGUCCUGAAGAAAUAAUUAAUACAAAAGUUUGAUGUCCACAUUUCUUCACAAAUUUUCCAGAAA